GAGCGCCCACUUCGGUGGGAGCGGCAGACGGGUGAGUAACGCGUGGGAAUCUACCCAGCUCUACGGAACAACCCAGGGAAACUUGGGCUAAUACCGUAUACGUCCUCCGGGAGAAAGAUUUAUCGGAGCUGGAUGAGCCCGCGUUGGAUUAGCUAGUUGGUGGGGUAAUGGCCUACCAAGGCGACGAUCCAUAGCUGGUCUGAGAGGAUGAUCAGCCACAUUGGGACUGAGACACGGCCCAAACUCCUACGGGAGGCAGCAGUGGGGAAUAUUGGACAAUGGGCGAAAGCCUGAUCCAGCCAUGCCGCGUGAGUGAUGAAGGCCCUAGGGUUGUAAAGCUCUUUCAGUGGGGAAGAUAAUGACGGUACCCACAGAAGAAGCCCCGGCUAACUUCGUGCCAGCAGCCGCGGUAAUACGAAGGGGGCUAGCGUUGUUCGGAAUUACUGGGCGUAAAGCGCACGUAGGCGGAUUGUUUAGUGAGGGGUGAAAUCCCAGGGCUCAACCCUGGAACUGCCUCUCAUACUGGCAAUCUCGAGUCCGGAAGAGGUGAGUGGAAUUCCGAGUGUAGAGGUGAAAUUCGUAGAUAUUCGGAGGAACACCAGUG
This 604-nucleotide ribosomal RNA is filed under the name Mesorhizobium qingshengii. RNAcentral describes it as "bacterial SSU rRNA". It matches the Rfam family "Bacterial small subunit ribosomal RNA", at positions 64 to 714 of the family's 1533-position model. Lineage: Bacteria; Pseudomonadati; Pseudomonadota; Alphaproteobacteria; Hyphomicrobiales; Phyllobacteriaceae. The record is from RNAcentral.